GUGAAUAACCCAUAAGGCCCAUUGUGAGCCAUUGUUGCUAACAUCAAACAACUGAAUACCAAAUCCAAAUAGGUAUAACCCCUUUAGAGAUAUAUCUAAACCUACUACAAUUGCAGAGAUUAGGAAAGUCUGUGUUAGCGCCUCACGUCCACUAGCGUGGUUCCCUUGAAGUAGAAAGGCUAUCAAGCUUACUUCGAGAAAUAGCAUGCCAGAUGUUGUGAACAAGGAGAUGACACUCCACAUGAAUUGUUUCCCUGGAGCACACUCCCAUGCCUGAAUAGAGCACCAGGCCAAAUUGAAGAUGCUAACAAGCCAGAGAAUGGCAUAGAGAACAGCUACUACAUGCGAUCGACCAUUAGAAACCUUGGAGAAGCUUCUCUUGGCUUGGGAAGCCAAGUAUAUAACAAAUAGUGCUGAAGGAACUAUCAUCAAUACAUUAUGCCAUAAACCGUGGCACUCCACGAACCAACCGCCGCCGCCGCCGCCG
This 487-nucleotide unclassified non-coding RNA is filed under the name Hevea brasiliensis (rubber tree). The record is from RNAcentral. Lineage: Eukaryota; Viridiplantae; Streptophyta; Magnoliopsida; Malpighiales; Euphorbiaceae.